Molecule: ribosomal RNA, 253 nt
Filed under: uncultured bacterium
Lineage: Bacteria
Description: partial 16S ribosomal RNA
Rfam family: Bacterial small subunit ribosomal RNA
Source: RNAcentral
UACGUAGGGGGCGAGCGUUGUCCGGAGUUACUGGGCGUAAAGCGCACGCAGGCGGUUCGCCAAGUUUGGAGUGACAGUUGUCGGCUCAACCGACAAAGGACUUCAAAAACUGGUGAACUUGAGGACGAGAGAGGAACAUGGAACUCCAGGUGUAGUAGUGAAAUGCGUAGAUAUCUGGAAGAACACCAAUGGCGAAGGCAAUGUUCUGGCUCGUUUCUGACGCUCAGGUGCGAAAGCCAGGGGAGCGAACGGG